Molecule: ribosomal RNA, 490 nt
Filed under: uncultured bacterium
Lineage: Bacteria
Description: partial 16S ribosomal RNA
Rfam family: Bacterial small subunit ribosomal RNA
Source: RNAcentral
AUUGAACGCUGGCGGCAGGCCUAACACAUGCAAGUCGAACGGUAACAGGAAGAAGCUUGCUUCUUUGCUGACGAGUGGCGGACGGGUGAGUAAUGUCUGGGAAACUGCCUGAUGGAGGGGGAUAACUACUGGAAACGGUAGCUAAUACCGCAUAACGUCGCAAGACCAAAGAGGGGGACCUUCGGGCCUCUUGCCAUCGGCUGUGCCCAGAUGGGAUUAGCUAGUAGGUGGGGUAACGGCUCACCUAGGCGACGAUCCCUAGCUGGUCUGAGAGGAUGACCAGCCACACUGGAACUGAGACACGGUCCAGACUCCUACGGGAGGCAACAGUGGGGAAUAUUGCACAAUGGGCGAAAGCCUGAUGCAGCCAUGCCGCGUGUGUGAAGAAGGCCUUCGGGUUGUAAAGUACUUUCAGCGGGGAGGAAGGGAGUAAAGUUAAUACCUUUACUCAUUGACGUUACCAGCAGAAGAAGCACCGGCUAACUCCGUG